CUGCUGCCUUCCGUAGGAGUCUGGUCCGUGUCNCAGUACCAGUGUGGGGGACCUUCCUCUCAGAACCCCUACGCAUCGUCGUCUUGGUGGUCCGUUACACCGCCAACUAACUAAUGCGACGCAUGCCCAUCCGCCACCGGAAUUAACCUUUGGCACCAACAGGAUGUCCCGUCGAUGCAUUAUGCCGUAUUAGACGGAAUUUCUCCCGAUUAUCCGGCUGUGGCAGGCAGGUUGCAUACGUGUUACUCA
RNAcentral lists this ribosomal RNA (249 nucleotides) under uncultured bacterium. Its description in RNAcentral is "partial 16S ribosomal RNA". The record is from RNAcentral.